Molecule: long non-coding RNA, 594 nt
Filed under: Rattus norvegicus (Norway rat)
Lineage: Eukaryota; Metazoa; Chordata; Mammalia; Rodentia; Muridae
Description: long non-coding RNA NONRATT033400
Source: RNAcentral
GUAUUAGCAAAGGUUACCAUGAGGUACAGGGACGUGUUGCAAAGCUAGCGAGCUUGGCCCGGGUGCCCGCUGUAGAACAUGACCAACCCUCUACGAAGGAAGGAAGUCUCUAGGACUCAGAACCACGUGUGUAGCAUUAGCGCUCUCUUCCUGACCACAGUUCUCAUUCAGAGUCUAACUGGCAGCUUUCACUUCCAAAUAAGACGACCCACUGGAAGGCCCCUGUAUGAACAGGUUAGCAAGAAUGGGAGUUUGAAUAAGAAAGAACAGACUCCUUCCCCAAGGCUGAAAGAGGAAGGAUGCGGGGAAAUUCACAAACAACAAGGAGAGGAGCUGAACACUGGAAACAAAAUCAGGCAGCAUUGUGAAGAAGCCGGGCGGAGCACAGCUCCAUGUGGAAGGAGGCAACAUCCGAUGCCUUUGGUCAACUCUCAAGGUGAUUAUCAGAGGAGAUACGUGCCAUCUUAUUGUGGACCAUGGAUUAAGCAACACUUGAACAUUCUGAGCAGAACACGACAUCCCUCCCUCUGUAGAUAUAAAACAACCAUUUAUUUUGAAAAGAAGCAUAAACCACCAAGAAUAUUUAUUCCUUAA